GGCUUUAGCGCCUGAGAUCAAAUCCCUCCUAAUCACUAUAACCACAUUUUCCCGAGGGGAUGUAGAGGGGAAUUGAAAUCCUCAUUCUAAUUUUUAUUUUUCUAUCUAUGGUUCGUGCUUUCUUAUCCGAAGGGGAAAGCCCCGGCCUACAGCACCGCUAUGAGAAAUCCCAACCCAGAGAAAGGAAUUUCACCUCUUCUAGCCCUUUAAUUUUAUUUGAAUAGGGCGGCUACAAAUAGCUAGUAUGAAAGAACUUACUUUCUUCUUGAAAAAGGAAAUCUGAUUCCAUAGUUCGGACCAAGGCUGAGACAAAUUCUGUGUUUACUUCGCGAUAGCCUUAACUUGACAUUAUCAAGCCAUACUAUCUACCCAAAUGGAUUUUAAACUGACAUUAUAUCCUAUAUAUCGGAGAUAUAAGGGUUGCACUUCCGCUUAUGGUAACUGAACUUGGUAACCAAACUCUUUCCCGGCAAGAAGAUCCAACAUUUCCUUCGGGCAAGUUCAGCUAUAGUUGGGUGGGAAUGGGAACGGACCGAC
This is a non-coding RNA of Lupinus albus (white lupine), 537 nucleotides long. The record is from the annotation of a GenBank genome assembly. Lineage: Eukaryota; Viridiplantae; Streptophyta; Magnoliopsida; Fabales; Fabaceae.